This 467-nucleotide ribosomal RNA is filed under the name uncultured bacterium. Its description in RNAcentral is "partial 16S ribosomal RNA". It matches the Rfam family "Bacterial small subunit ribosomal RNA", at positions 28 to 506 of the family's 1533-position model. The record is from RNAcentral.
GACGAACGCUGGCGGCGUGCUUAACACAUGCAAGUCGAACGGAAAGGCCCUGCUUUUGUGGGGUGCUCGAGUGGCGAACGUGUGAGUAACACGUGAGUAACCUGCCCUUGACUUUGGGAUAACUUCAGGAAACUGGGGCUAAUACCGGAUAGGAGCUCCUGCUUCAUGGUGGGGGUUGGAAAGUUUCGGCGGUUGGGGAUGGACUCGCGGCUUAUCAGCUUGUUGGUGAGGUAGUGGCUGACCAAGGCUUUGACGGGUAGCCGGCCUGAGAGGGUGACCGGCAAAAUUGUGACUGAGAGACGGCCCAGACUCGUACGGGAGGGAGGAGUGGGGAAUAUUGCACAAUGGGCGAAAGCAUGAUGCAGCAACGCCGCGUGCGGGAUGACGGCCUUCGGGUUGUAAACCGCUUUCGCCUGUGACGAAGCGUGAGUGACGGUAAUGGGUAAAGAAGGACCGGCUAACUACAU